This 254-nucleotide ribosomal RNA is filed under the name uncultured bacterium. RNAcentral's name for it is "partial 16S ribosomal RNA". It matches the Rfam family "Bacterial small subunit ribosomal RNA", at positions 524 to 776 of the family's 1533-position model. The record is from RNAcentral.
CACGUAGGGUGCGAGCGUUGUCCGGAAUUAUUGGGCGUAAAGAGCUCGUAGGCGGUGUGUCGCGUCGAUCGUGAAAACUUGGGGCUUAACCCUGAGCUUGCGGUCGAUACGGGCAUGACUGGAGUUCGGCAGGGGAGACUGGAAUUCCUGGUGUAGCGGUGAAAUGCGCAGAUAUCAGGAGGAACACCGGUGGCGAAGGCGGGUCUCUGGGCCGAUACUGACGCUGAGGAGCGAAAGCGUGGGGAGCGAACAGG